ACGAGACUAAUUUGUGACACUAUUACCUUGUUAAAUCUAGUUUUGGAAAUAGCAACAUUAAGCUCCUACGCGGUGUAUCAGGCAAACACUUACGUCAUCAGCCAUUAUUUCCGACAUCAUCGGAGCGCUUUUGAACUCAUCACUGUCAAAAUCACUGUCAAAAAUCCAUAUAAAAAUUUCGCGGGCAAAAGUCCAUCUCGCGCAAGCAAAAGUCGGUGAUUUGCCUCAGUCCUGUGAAAGCUGACAGAGAAAAUGGCAUUAAAGACGCUUUUGACAACAAAGCCUCCAACACCCUAUUUUCGCCCCCCGCCAAUCCACCUAUGUGUGGUGUUGGUGGUGGAGCAGCCCAGGGUGGUGGCCUGGGAGUUUGACGCAAAUGGUGCGAGACCAGCACAGACUAAAAUGAAUAUUCUGGCCGCAUUAACAGAUGGGGAUUCAGUGGCCAAGGUCACUGUAUUCGAGGAGUUUGGAAAAAGAUUUAAGGAGGGUGGCAGUUAUAAUGUGAAGGGGCUGUCUCUGAGAGGGCAGUCCCCCCCAUAUCAAUUAAACAUUACCAAGGACACGCUGUUCUUUAGGAGCGCUCCUAUAGCGCUCAGCGCAGCGCUCAAACGUGAAGCAGAGCUUCUAAUACACCCCCCCUCUCCACUGACUCCGCUGAGCACCUGCCGGGAAGCCAG
Long non-coding RNA from Gasterosteus aculeatus aculeatus (three-spined stickleback), 677 nucleotides. NCBI's taxonomy places the organism in Eukaryota, Metazoa, Chordata, Actinopteri, Perciformes, Gasterosteidae. The record is from Ensembl.